Long non-coding RNA from Calypte anna (Anna's hummingbird), 1108 nucleotides. RefSeq lists it as uncharacterized. The transcript has 3 exons. Lineage: Eukaryota; Metazoa; Chordata; Aves; Apodiformes; Trochilidae. The record is from RefSeq and is a predicted model, not a curated record.
GGGCAGUAGGAAGCGGCUGGAGGGAGCUUGUGCUCGGGUGGAGGCUGCCGAGCAGCCCGAUUCAGGCGUUCUCUGGUGUCUCCGCCCCGUUGCCUCCCGACCCCAUGCUCUCCCUUAUUCAUGUCCCGUUCCUCCUCGUGCCGGAGGACACGGCUGCCAGUGACGCCGCCGCUGCACGGCAGGAGCCCCGCGCCUUUCGGUGCCACCCAAGGUGCAGAAACCCCUCAGUUCUCUUCUUGCUGGGGCUCGGGAAACAGAAACUAUUGACAUGCUGACACCCGCCGACCAAUGCCGGUACCGCAGCUCACGGUGUGCGCAGAUGCCGCAAGUUGAAGCCGGGAAGCGGCGCCCGUCCCUGCCUCCCGGUAAGGAAACUGUGCGUACCCUACCCCUCAUGUGUGCCCGCAGCCCCACCCUCCCGUCCAAAUCCGUGUCUUUGUCCUCGGCUCUUCGAACAUGUCCCCGCCUCGCCGGUUUCUUCUCUCCUCCGUGAGCCGCUCCUGCGGGCGCUGGCGGGGGACGCUCAGCGGCUCAGAAGGCAAAGCGUGGAACGGUCUGCGGCUGCGCGUACGCUAACUUUUCGGGCACCCCUCACUUCCCGUCACGUGGUACUUCUGUCCUUCCCGCAUGAUGGCGCCGCGCUAGCUGCCAGUAAGGAAGCGAUGCCGUUGUCGCGGAACUGCAGUGCUGCGGGCAGGCGACGGUUCUGGCCGCUCCGGCGCUCCGCUGGCAUCCGGGACGAGGAGGCUGGGAGGGCGGAAGAGACAGGGACGUGACAAGCUGGCACUGGGGAGGACCCCGGCAAGGACCAGCUGCCCCCUCCUGGUUUUGUAUUUGUGUGUCCUUGUUGGAGAACAGCAGAGGAGCCGGCCUGCAUGGGAUAGAGGAGUGCUGCAGAUUCCCUGGCAUUCACUGAUCCUGAAGAAGAACAAAGAACUGUAAAUAACUUAAGGAUGUUAUGUCCUGGUACCUGGUGCCUCUGGUGAGAAUGGGGAGAUAAGGUUUUAUGUUUGUAGAAAGAGCACUUUGAGCUGUACAUUGUAGAUCAAUCAGUAGAUAUCGGGAUCCUAUGUAAGUCUUGCCAGCCACACAAUAAAGGAUUCUGAUU